GGACUACAGGGGUAUCUAAUCCUGUUUGCUCCCCACGCUUUCGCUCCUCAGCGUCAGUACCGGCCCAGAGCGCCGCCUUCGCUACGGGUGUUCCUCCCGAUCUCUGCGCAUUUCACCGCUACACCGGGAAUUCCACGCUCCCCUACCGGACUCGAGUCAGGGCAGUCUCACGUGGCGCCUCCACGUUGAGCGUGGAGAUUUCACACGUGACUUGCCCAACCGCCUACGAGCUCUUUACGCCCAAUAAAUCCGGACAACGCUUGCCCCCUACGUAUUACCGCGGCUGCUGGCAC
RNAcentral lists this ribosomal RNA (293 nucleotides) under uncultured bacterium. RNAcentral describes it as "partial 16S ribosomal RNA". The record is from RNAcentral.